AACUAACGCUGGCGGCGUGCCUAACACAUGCAAGUCGUACGAGAAAGCCGGCUUCGGCUGGUGAGUAAAGUGGCGCACGGGUGAGUAACGCGUGGAUAAUCUGCCCUUAAGUGUGGAAUAACGUACCGAAAGGUGCGCUAAUACCGCAUAAUGCCUGGCAACACAAGUUGUCCGGCCAAAGAAGGCCUCUGUUUACAAGCUUUCGCUUCAGGAUGAGUCCGCGUACCAUUAGCUUGUUGGUGGGGUAAUGGCCUACCAAGGCUGCGAUGGUUAGCUGGUCUGAGAGGAUGAUCAGCCACACUGGAACUGAGACACGGUCCAGACUCCUACGGAGGCAGCAGUGGGGAAUAUUGCGCAAUGGGGGAAACCCUGACGCAGCGACGCCGCGUGAGCGAAGAAGGCCUCGGGUUGUAAAGCUCUGUUCUAAGGGACGAAGGACUUGGCUGUGAAUAAUGGUCAAGGGUGACGGUACCUUAGGAGAAAGCCCGGCUAACU
RNAcentral lists this ribosomal RNA (495 nucleotides) under uncultured bacterium. RNAcentral's name for it is "bacterial SSU rRNA". It matches the Rfam family "Bacterial small subunit ribosomal RNA", at positions 29 to 502 of the family's 1533-position model. The record is from RNAcentral.